GCUAUACAUGCAAGUUCGAGCGGACUAGCAUGAGAAGCUUGCUUUCCUCCUGAUAGGUUUAGCGGCGGACGGGUGAGUAACACGUAGGCAACCUGCCCUCAAGUUUGGGACAACUACCGGAAACGGUAGCUAAUACCGAAUAGUUGUUUUCUUCUCCUGAAGAGAACUGGAAAGACGGAGCAAUCUGUCACUUGGGGAUGGGCCUGCGGCGCAUUAGCUAGUUGGUGGGGUAACGGCUCACCAAGGCGACGAUGCGUAGCCGACCUGAGAGGGUGAUCGGCCACACUGGGACUGAGACACGGCCCAGACUCCUACGGGAGGCAGCAGUAGGGAAUCUUCCGCAAUGGGCGAAAGCCUGACGGAGCAAUGCCGCGUGAGUGAUGAAGGUUUUCGGAUCGUAAAGCUCUGUUGCCAGGGAAGAACGCUUGGGAGAGUAACUGCUCUCAAGGUGACGGUACCUGAGAAGAAAGCCCCGGCUAACUACGUGCCAGCAGCCGCGGUAAUACGUAGGGGGCAAGCGUUGUCCGGAAUUAU
RNAcentral lists this ribosomal RNA (534 nucleotides) under Paenibacillus taichungensis. RNAcentral describes it as "bacterial SSU rRNA". It matches the Rfam family "Bacterial small subunit ribosomal RNA", at positions 48 to 554 of the family's 1533-position model. The record is from RNAcentral. Lineage: Bacteria; Bacillati; Bacillota; Bacilli; Caryophanales; Paenibacillaceae.